This 374-nucleotide ribosomal RNA is filed under the name uncultured organism. Its description in RNAcentral is "partial 16S ribosomal RNA". It matches the Rfam family "Bacterial small subunit ribosomal RNA", at positions 527 to 896 of the family's 1533-position model. The record is from RNAcentral.
GGAGGGGGCUAGCGUUGUUCGGAUUUACUGGGCGUAAAGGGCGCGUAGGCGGUAUGCCAUGUCAGGGGUGAAAGGCCUGGGCUCAACCCAGGAACUGCCUUUGAAACUGGCAAACUAGAGUCCGAUAGAGGAUGGCGGAAUUCCCAGUGUAGAGGUGAAAUUCGUAGAUAUUGGGAAGAACACCAGUGGCGAAGGCGGCCAUCUGGAUCGGCACUGACGCUGAGGCGCGAAAGCGUGGGGAGCAAACAGGGAUUAGAUACCCUGGUAGUCCACGCCGUAAACGAUGUGUGCUAGACGUUGGGGGGGUCUUAGACCCCUGAGUGUCGCAGCUAACGCGUUAAGCACACCGCCUGGGGAGUACGGCCGCAAGGUUA